GUGAAUCAUCGAAUCUUUGAACGCAAAUUGCACUCUCUUCGGAGAGUAUGCCUGUUUGAGGGUCAGUAUUAACAAAAAAAUCGGUUUGUUUGCAAAUUGUGCCGUUUCCGGAGUUUGGGCUAUCUUAACUUUUUUGGUUAAGGGGCUUAAAAUUGACCUUUUUUGCGCAUUUUUAGACGUCCAUAAAUUUUUUUUUAUUCUUCUUUUCUUAUUCCCAAAUUCUUAUUAGUUCCGAUCC
This 238-nucleotide unclassified non-coding RNA is filed under the name Rhizophagus sp. (in: glomeromycetes). RNAcentral's name for it is "partial contains 5.8S ribosomal RNA and internal transcribed spacer 2". The stretch from base 1 to 65 matches the Rfam family "5.8S ribosomal RNA", at positions 84 to 154 of the family's 154-position model. Lineage: Eukaryota; Fungi; Glomeromycota; Glomeromycetes; Glomerales; Glomeraceae. The record is from RNAcentral.